This 73-nucleotide transfer RNA is filed under the name Ailuropoda melanoleuca (giant panda). It matches the Rfam family "tRNA". From Rfam's summary of the family: Transfer RNA (tRNA) molecules are approximately 80 nucleotides in length. Their secondary structure includes four short double-helical elements and three loops (D, anti-codon, and T loops). The record is from Rfam by way of RNAcentral. Lineage: Eukaryota; Metazoa; Chordata; Mammalia; Carnivora; Ursidae.
ACCUGGCUGGCUCAGUCGGUAGAGCAUGUGACUCUUGAUCUCAGGGUUGUGAAUUCAAGACCCAUGUUGGGCA